AGUGUGACCAUGUGAAGACAUUUUGAGGAUUAGCUAAAGAGGAGUAAGAAAGAAGAUGGAGCUGGAAACGAAAGACUUCGGAAUGACCUGGAUUAUUACUACAUACCUCUGCUUUGACAAGAAGCUGAUAAAUGGUGCUUACAGAGAAGUCCAGCUGACCUUUCAGAAAUCACUGCUGCCACAGAAGAGGAAAGCUAGGAUUAUUGGGAAGCUCAUGAAUGAUCAUAUGGAAUGUUGCAUCAAAGUGCCUGACUCAUUGUGUUGACUGGAAUUUUGGUUAUUUAGAAGUUUCACUUGUAAAGUGACCUUAAAGAUUUUGUAGAAGUCACUCAGUUCAAAUAUACUCAGUACCGUCUUGGUAGAAAAACUUUGAAAAUUGAUUCUCAAUAUGAAGUGAAGGGUAUGUAUCUGUAAACAAUAAUAACUUACUGUUGAUGUAACUUACCAAUGCAUUUAUCCCAUCAUCAACUGUAAUAAUUACUCCAAAGUGAUCAUUGCUAUUUUCAUAUACCUGCAAAAGGUUAAUGUGAUGAUUAAGUGUAAAAUAUUUAAAAUGCCUCGUGGAAUAUUAAAUUACAUUGGUCACUAAUUUUCUGUACAUUUUCUUGUUGCUUUGGUUCAGCUGUUAAUCCUGUUAAAUUGCAAACAGAA
Molecule: non-coding RNA, 651 nt
Organism: Chiloscyllium plagiosum (whitespotted bambooshark)
Lineage: Eukaryota; Metazoa; Chordata; Chondrichthyes; Orectolobiformes; Hemiscylliidae
Source: RefSeq, a predicted model, not a curated record